UGGGAAAGUUAGGUCUCCAGGUGAUACGA
This 29-nucleotide non-coding RNA is filed under the name Rattus norvegicus (Norway rat). Lineage: Eukaryota; Metazoa; Chordata; Mammalia; Rodentia; Muridae. The record is from RNAcentral.